AGUGAACGCUGGCGGUAGGCCUAACACAUGCAAGUCGAACGGCAGCACAGGAGAGCUUGCUCUCUGGGUGGCGAGUGGCGGACGGGUGAGGAAUACAUCGGAAUCUACCUUUUCGUGGGGGAUAACGUAGGGAAACUUACGCUAAUACCGCAUAAGACCUUCGGUGAAAGCCGGGACCUCGGGCCUGGCGCGGAUAGAUG
This 200-nucleotide ribosomal RNA is filed under the name uncultured bacterium. RNAcentral's name for it is "partial 16S ribosomal RNA". It matches the Rfam family "Bacterial small subunit ribosomal RNA", at positions 29 to 227 of the family's 1533-position model. The record is from RNAcentral.